Molecule: ribosomal RNA, 349 nt
Filed under: uncultured bacterium
Lineage: Bacteria
Description: bacterial SSU rRNA
Rfam family: Bacterial small subunit ribosomal RNA
Source: RNAcentral
GGGCCCGCACAAGCAGUGGAGCAUGUGGUUUAAUUCGAUGAUACGCGAGGAACCUUACCAGGGCUUAAAUGCAGAACGACAGAGGUGGAAACACCUCCUUCUUCGGACGGUCUGCAAGGUGCUGCAUGGUUGUCGUCAGCUCGUGCUGUGAAGUGUCGGGUUAAGUCCCAUAACGAGCGCAACCCCUAUUUCUAGUUGCCAGCGGUUCGGCCGGGGACUCUAGAGAAACUGCCAGCGUAAGCUGUGAGGAAGGUGGGGAUGACGUCAAAUCAUCACGGCCCUUACAUCCUGGGCCACACACGUGCUACAAUGGUGGGGACAACAGGUUGCCAACCCGCGAGGGUGAGCC